Molecule: ribosomal RNA, 497 nt
Filed under: uncultured bacterium
Lineage: Bacteria
Description: partial 16S ribosomal RNA
Rfam family: Bacterial small subunit ribosomal RNA
Source: RNAcentral
GACGAACGCUGGCGGCGUGCCUAACACAUGCAAGUCGAGCGGAGUUGACAAGAGGAAGUUUUCGGAUGGAAUCUUGCCAGCUUAGCGGCGGACGGGUGAGUAACGCGUGAGCGACCAACCUUGCACAGGGGGAUAACGGACCGAAAGGUUCACUAAUACCGCAUGAGACCACGGUGUUGCAUGACACAGGGGUCAAAGGAGGAAUCCGGUGCAAGACGGGCUCGCGUCCGAUUAGGUAGUUGGAGGGGUAACGGCCCACCAAGCCUAUGAUCGGUAGCCGACCUGAGAGGGUGAUCGGCCACAUUGGAACUGGGAUACGGUCCAAACUCCUACGGGAGGCAGCAGUGGGGAAUAUUGGGCAAUGGGGGAAACCCUGACCCAGCAACGCCGCGUGAAGGAAGAAGGUUUUCGGAUUGUAAACUUCUGUCUUGGUGAAGAGAAGAAGACGGUAGCCAAGGAGGAAGCCCCGGCUAACUACGUGCCAGCCGCCGCCGUAA